RNAcentral lists this ribosomal RNA (785 nucleotides) under uncultured Glomus. RNAcentral's name for it is "SSU rRNA". It matches the Rfam family "Eukaryotic small subunit ribosomal RNA", at positions 325 to 1111 of the family's 1831-position model. The record is from RNAcentral. Lineage: Eukaryota; Fungi; Glomeromycota; Glomeromycetes; Glomerales; Glomeraceae.
AUGGUAGGAUAGAGGCCUACCAUGGUGGUAACGGGUAACGGGGUGUUAGGGCACGACACCGGAGAGGGAGCCUGAGAAACGGCUACCACAUCCAAGGAUGGCAGCAGGCGCGCAAAUUACCCAAUCCCGACACGGGGAGGUAGUGACAAUAAAUAACAAUACGGGGUUCUUUAGGAUCUCGUAAUUGGAAUGAGUACAAUUUAAAUCUCUUAACGAGGAACAAUUGGAGGGCAAGUCUGGUGCCAGCAGCCGCGGUAAUUCCAGCUCCAAUAGCGUAUAUUAAAGUUGUUGCGGUUAAAAAGCUCGUAGUUGAAUUUCGGGGUCAGUAGGUCGGUCGUGCCACUGGUAUGAACUGGUUUUACUGAUUCCUCCCUCUUGAAGAACUGUAAUGCCAUUAAUUUGGUGUUGCAGGGAAUCAGGACUGUUACUUUGAAAAAAUUAGAGUGUUUAAAGCAGGCUUUAGCUUGAAUACAUUAGCAUGGAAUAAUGAAAUAGGACGUUUGAUCCUAUUUUGUUGGUUUCUAGGAUUGACGUAAUGAUUAAUAGGGAUAGUUGGGGGCAUUAGUAUUCAAUUGUCAGAGGUGAAAUUCUUGGAUUUAUUGAAGACUAACUACUGCGAAAGCAUUUGCCAAGGAUGUUUUCAUUAAUCAAGAACGAAAGUUAGGGGAUCGAAGACGAUCAGAUACCGUCGUAGUCUUAACCAUAAACUAUGCCGACUAGGGAUCGGAUGAUGUUAAUUUUUUAAUGACUCAUUCGGCGCCUUACGGGAAACCAAAGUGUUUGGG